GUACCCAACAAGAAGUUAUAAUUUAUUCAUAUAACAAACUAAAUCAGUAUGUUAUACUUGGGAAAUGUGGAUAACACAUUAAUUUGAUGAAAUUUAUGUUUUAGUACAACGUUUUGGUUGGGGACUGAGUUAAAAAUUCCUCCUCCUAGAUGGAUGUAUAUUCAUGGUUCCGACGAAGCCUCUCUAGAGCUACAAGGACCACCACCACAACUGUUACUGCUCAACCGGACGACGAACUACUCUACGGCGUCACUGACCAAUUACUCGAUUUUGUCAAAAACUUCUCCAUUGACACCUUUCGAAACUUCUCUCUCCCAGAGGAGGAGGAGGAGGAUGGAGAUACACCCGGGAAAGAUCUAUCUGAUUGGCAACAGCGUCAUGCUUUGCUUGUUCUUUCCAAACUCAAGGAACUCUCACAAUUGAGGUUCAAAUUAUGUCCACGCUUUUUAAAGGAUCACCAGUUUUGGACGAUAUAUUUUGCUCUCGUUAAGGGUUUUGUUGCCAAAUAUGAGCUACAUGCUAUACAAUUAGAUAAGCUCAAACAGAUGAGAUUGGAAAACGAAAAUACUCCAGAUGUUGCUGCAUGCGAAGUUGAGAUGUCUGAAGCGAAGCAAACAACAAAUGUAUUGCCUACAAUUUCGGAGGAGCACAAUUAGUAUCUCCCUUGGAUAUGUCACUAAUUAUCAGUGCCAGAAAAGUUCCCCAUCUAUGAGCAGCGUUCAAGUGUGCCUUCCUGUUUCUGCCAUGCAUAUUUUAAGGCAGUGUAAACAAAGUAAAACAGAAUAUCUGAAUUUUCUGAUUUAUGAUCAUAGAAAAAGAAAACUGAAAGUCAAGCAAAAUGUUAGAUGAAAAUGGAAAUUGAAAUGAUUGUUGAAAUUGGAAAAUGCCUGUUCAUCAAGAAAAGGGGAACAUAUUUGCAAAAUUUGGCGCGUCACUGACAGCUUCUACUAUACCUGCGUUACUGGAAUUGAUUAUCUGAUGCUGCUGACUUCUCUGCCGAUUGCUGACAAUCAGUGCAAGUUACAAGGUGUUUUAUAGUUCUGUAAAUGCAUAGAAGAUCAGAUCUUAGGAUUAAUCUAGGUUUGGUUAAAUACAUUUUCAUGUUGGUUAAGUAUAAGUUUAUCUUAAUGUUACUACUUGGAGCACUUUUGUACCUGGCUGACCAUUAAUUUAUUAAUGGUAGUAGUCGCUUGAUGAUCUCAGAACAGAUAAAUAUUAGGAGAUUGCAUGUCAAAUGAAUCUCUCUGAUCUUGCUGUGUUGAAUUUUGGUCUUUUAUGUUUGGGUUUCUUCUAGAGUUAGUUGGGUUAAUCCACUGGAGAAAUGAUUUUUCUUUUGUGUGGCUGCCAGAAGAGUGCCAAUUGAUUUGUCUAAAAAAAGUAGUACUACAAAUUAUGCAUGACAA
Molecule: RNA transcript, 1403 nt
Organism: Solanum dulcamara
Lineage: Eukaryota; Viridiplantae; Streptophyta; Magnoliopsida; Solanales; Solanaceae
Exons: 5
Source: RefSeq, a predicted model, not a curated record